Molecule: ribosomal RNA, 249 nt
Filed under: uncultured Hyphomicrobiales bacterium
Lineage: Bacteria; Pseudomonadati; Pseudomonadota; Alphaproteobacteria; Hyphomicrobiales
Description: uncultured Rhizobiales bacterium partial 16S ribosomal RNA
Rfam family: Bacterial small subunit ribosomal RNA
Source: RNAcentral
CACGCCGUAAACUAUGAGAGCUAGCCGUUGGAGGGUUUACCCUUCAGUGGCGCAGCUAACGCAUUAAGCUCUCCGCCUGGGGAGUACGGUCGCAAGAUUAAAACUCAAAGGAAUUGACGGGGGCCCGCACAAGCAGUGGAGCAUGUGGUUUAAUUCGAAGCAACGCGAAGAACCUUACCAGCCCUUGACAUCCCGGUCGCGACUUUCAGAGAUGAUCGUCUUCAGUUCGGCUGGACCGGUGACAGGUGC